RNAcentral lists this ribosomal RNA (255 nucleotides) under uncultured bacterium. RNAcentral's name for it is "partial 16S ribosomal RNA". It matches the Rfam family "Bacterial small subunit ribosomal RNA", at positions 524 to 776 of the family's 1533-position model. The record is from RNAcentral.
UACGAGGGGUCCUAGCGUUGUUCGGAAUCAUUGGGCGUAAAGGGUGCGUAGGCGGGUCUUUUAAGUCAGGGGUGAAAUCCUGGAGCUCAACUCCAGAACUGCCUUUGAUACUGAGGAUCUUGAGUUCGGGAGAGGUGAGUGGAACUGCGAGUGUAGAGGUGAAAUUCGUAGAUAUUCGCAAGAACACCAGUGGCGAAGGCGACUUCCUGGCCUGUUCUUGACGCUGAGGCGCGAAAGCUGGGGGGAGCAAACGGG